CAUUAGGUAACUUAAUUAAAAGUAUUGGUCUCUUAAACCAAAUUAUAGUAGUAAAAAUACUCUUAAUGA
RNAcentral lists this transfer RNA (69 nucleotides) under Bothrogonia tongmaiana. Its description in RNAcentral is "tRNA-Lys". It matches the Rfam family "tRNA". Rfam says of the family: Transfer RNA (tRNA) molecules are approximately 80 nucleotides in length. Lineage: Eukaryota; Metazoa; Arthropoda; Insecta; Hemiptera; Cicadellidae. The record is from RNAcentral.